UGGGGAAUCUUCCGCAAUGGACGCAAGUCUGACGGAGCAACGCCGCGUGAGUGAAGAAGGAUUUCGGUUCGUAAAACUCUGUUGUUAGAGAAGAACAGCGCAUAGAGUAACUGUUAUGCGUGUGACGGUAUCUAACCAGAAAGCCACGGCUAACUACGUGCCAGCAGCCGCGGUAAUACGUAGGUGGCAAGCGUUGUCCGGAUUUAUUGGGCGUAAAGCGAGCGCAGGCGGUCAAUUAAGUCUGAUGUGAAAGCCCCCGGCUCAACCGGGGAGGGUCAUUGGAAACUGGUUGACUUGAGUGCAGAAGAGGAGAGUGGAAUUCCAGGUGUAGCGGUGAAAUGCAUAGAUAUAUGGAGGAACACCAGUGGCGAAGGCGACUCUCUGGUCUGUAACUGACGCUGAGGCUCGAAAGCGUGGGUAGCAAACAGG
RNAcentral lists this ribosomal RNA (429 nucleotides) under Bacteroidota bacterium. RNAcentral's name for it is "Bacteroidetes bacterium partial 16S ribosomal RNA". It matches the Rfam family "Bacterial small subunit ribosomal RNA", at positions 355 to 776 of the family's 1533-position model. The record is from RNAcentral. Lineage: Bacteria; Pseudomonadati; Bacteroidota.